AAUGUGGCGCUCCGCGGUUGGUGAGCAUGCUCGGUCCGUCCGAGAAGCCUUAAAACUGCGACGACACAUUCACCUUGAACCAAGGGUUCAAGGGUUACAGCCUGCGGCGGCAUCUCGGAGAUUCC
Molecule: small RNA, 125 nt
Filed under: Xanthomonas citri pv. citri
Lineage: Bacteria; Pseudomonadati; Pseudomonadota; Gammaproteobacteria; Lysobacterales; Lysobacteraceae
Description: partial 6S RNA
Rfam family: 6S / SsrS RNA
About the family: E. coli 6S RNA was the first non coding RNA to be sequenced, but its function was unknown until recently. It consists of 184 nucleotides that fold into an extended hairpin structure with a large single-stranded internal bulge.
Source: RNAcentral